This is a long non-coding RNA of Piliocolobus tephrosceles (Ugandan red Colobus), 1908 nucleotides long. NCBI's taxonomy places the organism in Eukaryota, Metazoa, Chordata, Mammalia, Primates, Cercopithecidae. The record is from Ensembl.
AUAAUAAUAUUAAUAAUAAUAAUAAUAAUAAUAAUAAUAUUAAUAAUAAUAAUAAUAAUAUUAUUAAUAAUAAUAAUAAUAAUAAUAAAAGUAAUAAUAAUAAUAAUAAAAGUAAUAAAAAAAAUAAAAAUAGUAAAGUGAAAAAAAUGAUAAAUAAAAAAAAAGAAAAUUCGUUUACAAACAUAGAUAAAGAUAUAAAUUAUGGUAUACAAUUAACAAAUCUAAACGAAUCGAUGCAUAAUGUAUAUAUGUAUGGUCUCAAUUUUGAAUAUGACAAAAAUAGUACUACUACGCCCCAUAUGAAUCAUUAUCUUAGAUUAUUCCCAGAUGAAAAGUUUCAAAUGAAAUAUGAAUUUUUAGAAAAUGUUAAUAACUUAAACACUGUAUUUAAUUUUAAUAAUGAAUUUUUAUUUUUUUUAUGUAACUUUAGUAAAAGUGAAGAUAUAAAUUAUGAUACGAUGUUAUCCUUCUUAAAUGAAAUACAAACAAAGUUAAGUAAUAAUAUAAAACAAAAAUAUACAAAUAUAUUUUUACAAACACAUAAUAUUGAUGAUACUGUUUCUAUAAUUGGUUAUGUAAUUAAUAUACUUAAUAAUAAUAAAAAAAUUUUAAAUAAAUUAAAUCAAUUAGAAUAUAAAUUUUAUUAUGAUUAUAUAAAAAUCAAAAAUAAAAAAAAAACAGAUACAACUGGUAUUGACCUUAAUUCUAAUGAAGUACUACAUGGGAAGUCAAAUGGAUCUUAUACAUUCGAAUCCCAUUCUACUGAAAAUUGUUUAAAAGUUGAAAAUGGGGAAAAUGGCAAAAAUGGUACAGAAGUUACGAUUGACAGCACAAGUGUUACAUCAUUUACAACCGGUUUGGUAAAAUUUAAUGGAAUGGGAGAAGAUGAAGAUACACGAAUUGAUAAUCUCGAUAACGAAUUAUUACAUGAUACAUUGGAUGAAAAAAAGGAAUCUUAUAAAAGUCUGUUUCAAACAGCUCUAGCGAAUAAGUUAGCACAAGAUUAUAAUAAAACUGGUACAGUUACAAAAACGGGUUCAAAUACAGUUACAGAUACAGCUACAGUUAUAGUUACAGAAACAAGUACAGCUACAAACGAAGGCGCAAAUGACAAUUUUUUUACCGAAACCAGUGAUUCCAAUAAUAAUACUGAAAAAUAUUAUAUCGAUACAAAUUCCUAUUUGAUAAAAAAAAAUAAUGAUGAUAAAACAAUGAAAAAUAUGAUAAAUAGUAAUAAACAUGAACAAAGAAAAAAUUCUGCUUAUUCUGAAAAUCAAAGUUUUGUUGCUAAUAAAUUGGAUGAACUUAUAAAAUGUACAAUAAAACAUGAAAAUAUAAUAUAUGGUGAUAAUUUUUUAUAUAAUAAAUAUAAAAACAUGAGUGAAAAAGAUUUAUAUAAAAAUUAUAUACCAAAUAAAGUGUAUAAAUGUGAAAAUUAUAUAAAUGAAUUUAAAAAAGAUGUUAAAGAAGAUAAUUCUUUUAUAAUUAACAAACUUAUGCAUGAUCAAACAGAUACAGAACAGAAUACAAUUAUAAGCGAGAAUAAUGACGAAGGUCUUUCUAUACAAAACUUUAAAAUGUUUUUUAAAAAAGUUAAUUAUAUUCAUAAUGUUAAUGAAAAGGAUUUUAACGAGGAUAAGAAAAAAUUGAGUAUUUCGGAUCAUCUGACAUAUAGUACUAGUACCAACAACAAUAACAAUGAUACUUAUACUUUGGAAGUAAAUGGUGAACAUUUUACUACUUCAGAAACUGGUAUAGUAUUGAAUAAACACGAAAAUAAAGAAAAAAAUAAAAAUAAAGAAAAAAUUGAUAAUAAAGAAAAAAAUGAUAAUAAAGAAAAAAAUGAAAAUAAUGAAAAUAAAGAGAAUGAUGAAAAUAAUGAAAAUAAAGAGAAUGAUAAAAAUAAAG